Molecule: long non-coding RNA, 227 nt
Organism: Mastomys coucha (southern multimammate mouse)
Lineage: Eukaryota; Metazoa; Chordata; Mammalia; Rodentia; Muridae
Exons: 3
Source: RefSeq, a predicted model, not a curated record
GCUCCUAACUUGAUGAUAAUGGACUGAACCUCUGAACCUAUGCAAUGACCAGAUGCCCCAACUCCUGCUGCUAGGAUGUUUUGUCAUGGACUGCACCCUCUAACUUUGUCUCAAGAUGUAAGCUCCAACACCAUGCCUGCCUGACUUCCGCCAUGCACCCCACCAUGGAGGUCAUAAACUCUAACCCCCUGGAGCUAUAAGCUCCCAAUAAACCCUUCCUUUCAUAA